Molecule: long non-coding RNA, 1345 nt
Filed under: Oryza brachyantha (malo sina)
Lineage: Eukaryota; Viridiplantae; Streptophyta; Magnoliopsida; Poales; Poaceae
Description: long non-coding RNA (OBRA_LNC000188)
Source: RNAcentral
CUAAACUCUUACUUUCAUGGUAUAGCUGAGAAGACAUUAACAUAGGAUAUGCUUUCACCAAGCACUAGUUUCCAACUUCUUUUGGAAGCUUGCUAUGUUGCAAUAUGAGAGGGGAGUUUGCAAGGAUUACCUUAAGUGGACAAAAAUGCCAUAAAAUAAGCUGUUUUCUUUCUUUUUUUCAAGCCUGAACAACUGAUAUUUCCGUCCCAUUUUUUCAUUUCUUAUUCUUUUGUUGAUGCUUAAAGCAUAUUUUGUUCACAGACAACCCAAUCCAUACAUCGGAAAUACCUCCAGAAGAUACUUAUCCACAGAAUCAAUCUGAAAUACAUCGGGGAAACAUUGAGGUAAAAUUGUUCAUCGCUAUUUUUUGUGUGUUUGCCAUAGCCUUGGAACUGCUGCUGUAAAUAUUCCUACUUGAAGUUAGCAGCAUUAGCUGAACAUUUAUAUCUCUCUACUCUACCGAUAUGGGUAGCAUUUCACUUUGUUGUCAUGCACGUAGCAUCAGGAAUGCCAUAAUUGGAAGAGUUGCAAUGAUUGUCACAUUUCCUGCAUAUGUGCAUACUUAUCUCAGUUUAUAGAAAUGACUUACUUCUUUGUUUGUCCUCUUUAUUUUUACAUAAUUGUCUUCUUUGGACUUUCAGAAACUGGCAAUUGAUACAAGGAAUUCGCUCUCCCCAAGCGAAGGCAAGGAACAGAGAGGAAAGAAAAAGAAGCAGCCAUCAAAGAGAGGAAAGAGAGUGGGAGGUUUGUACCUAUUAUACUUAUAUUCAGUAACUUGUGAUACAUGUGUGUUGCAGAAUUGUUUUGUCCUAAUAUCUGAUGAUAGCAAUUUGGCUGCAAUGGACUGUUCUUAGCUAUGGGAAUCACAUUCAUUUUUUCUCAAACUCGAAAUUACCAACAUUUGAAAACUUAGGAAAUAGCUGAUAAAACGUUAUCCUAAACAUUUUUAUUACAAGCUAAUAGUUUCCUUAUUCCUCUUAUCUGUACUCUUGCUCUCAUCUCUUAUCUACAAACUCAAUCAUGGCAUAGCAGCCAUUGCUAAGAAGACAUCACAAUAAGAUACUGUUUCGUCAAGUACUAGUAUCACACUUCUUUUGGAAACUUGUUAUUUUGUAAUAUCUCAGGGAGUUUGCAAGGAGUACCUUAAGGGGAGAAAUGCUACAAAAUAAGCUGUUUUUCUUUUCUUUUUCAAGCCUGAACAACUCAGAAUUUUUUCCCCAUUCUUUCGUUUCUUAUUCAUUUGUUGAGGUUUAAAGCAUAUUUUCUUCACAGACAAUACAACCCAUACAUUGGACAUACCUCCAGAAGAUACUUAUCCACACAAUCAAUCUGAAAUACAUCGUGG